This 253-nucleotide ribosomal RNA is filed under the name uncultured bacterium. Its description in RNAcentral is "partial 16S ribosomal RNA". It matches the Rfam family "Bacterial small subunit ribosomal RNA", at positions 524 to 776 of the family's 1533-position model. The record is from RNAcentral.
UACGUAGGGACCGAGCGUUGUCCGGAAUCAUUGGGCGUAAAGAGCGUGUAGGCGGCCCCUUAAGUCCUGCGUGAAAUCCUGCGGCUCAACCGCAGACGGUCGUGGGAAACUGGAGGGCUAGAGUGCGGGAGAGGAGAGUGGAAUUCCCGGUGUAGCGGUGAAAUGCGCAGAUAUCAGGAAGAACACCUAUGGCGAAAGCAGCUCUCUGGGACGGUACUGACGCUGAGACGCGAAAGCGUGGGGAGCGAACAGG